UACGUAGGGUGCAAGCGUUGUCCGGAUUCACUGGGUGUAAAGGGUGCGCAGGCGGGCUCUUAAGUCAAAGGUGAAAUCUCACGGCUUAACCGUGAAAUUGCCUUUGAUACUGAGAGUCUUGAGUACGGGAGAGGGAGAUGGAAUUCCAGGUGUAGCGGUGAAAUGCGUAGAUAUCUGGAGGAACACCGGAGGCGAAGGCGGUCUCCUGGCCCGUUACUGACGCUCAUGCACGAAAGCGUGGGGAG
RNAcentral lists this ribosomal RNA (245 nucleotides) under uncultured bacterium. RNAcentral describes it as "partial 16S ribosomal RNA". It matches the Rfam family "Bacterial small subunit ribosomal RNA", at positions 524 to 768 of the family's 1533-position model. The record is from RNAcentral.